This 1242-nucleotide ribosomal RNA is filed under the name metagenome. RNAcentral describes it as "bacterial LSU rRNA". It matches the Rfam family "Bacterial large subunit ribosomal RNA", at positions 1564 to 2816 of the family's 2925-position model. The record is from RNAcentral.
UGAAUACGAGACGCUACGGCGUCGAAGCAGUCUAUGUCAGACUUCCAAGAAAAGCUCGCAAUGUCAUAAACAAAUAAUGCCUGUACCAUAACCGACACAGGUGGGUAGGUAGAGUAUACUAAGGGGCGCGAGAUAACUCUCUCUAAGGAACUCGGCAAAAUGACUCCGUAACUUCGGGAGAAGGAGUGCCUUAUUUAUAAGGUUGCAAUAACAAGAUCCAAGCAACUGUUUAUCAAAAACACAGGUCUCCGCUAAGUCGUAAGACGAUGUAUGGGGGCUGACGCCUGCCCAGUGCCAGAAGGUUAAAGAAGUUGGUUAGCAUUCGCGAAGCUGAUAACUGAAGCCCUGGUGAACGGCGGCCGUAACUAUAACGGUCCUAAGGUAGCGAAAUUCCUUGUCGGGUAAGUUCCGACCCGCACGAAAGGCGUAAUGAUUUGGAUACUGUCUCGGAGAGGGGCUCGGUGAAAUAGACUUGUCUGUGAAGAUGCGGACUACCUGCACCUGGACAGAAAGACCCUAUGAAGCUUUACUGUAACUUGAAAUUGAAAUUGGACUUUAUUUGCGCAGCAUAGGUGGGAGGCUUUGAGAGUAUUCUUGCGGGAAUAUUGGAGCCAUCAGUGAGAUACCACUCUUGUAAUGUUAGAUUUCUAACUUUGUAUCAUUAUCUGGUCAAAGAACAGUUUCAGGCGGGCAGUUUGACUGGGGCGGUCGCCUCCCAAAUGGUAACGGAGGCGUACAAAGGUUUCCUCUGAACGGGUAGAAAUCGUAUCUAGAGUGUAAAGGCAUAAGGAAGCUUGACUGUGAGACCUACAAGUCGAGCAGGGACGAAAGUCGGUCUUAGUGAUCUGACGGUGCUGAGUGGAAAGGCCGUCACUCAACGGAUAAAAGUUACUCUAGGAUAACAGGCUGAUCUCCCCCAAGAGUUCACAUCGACGGGGAGGUUUGGCACCUCGAUGUCGGCUCAUCGCAUCCUGGGGCGGUAGUACGUCCCAAGGGUUGGGCUGUUCGCCCAUGAAAGCGGUACGCGAGCUGGGUUCAGAACGUCGUGAGACAGUUUGGUCCAUAUCCGGUGUAGGCGUUAGAAUAUUGAGAGGAGCCUUCUUUAGCACGAGAGGACCGAGAAGGACAUACCUCUGGUGUACCAGUUAUCGUGCCAACGGUAAACGCUGGGUAGCUAUGUAUGGAGAGGAUAACCGCUGAAAGCAUCUAAGUGGGAAGCCCACCUCAAGAUAAGUAUUCUCA